This 497-nucleotide ribosomal RNA is filed under the name uncultured bacterium. RNAcentral's name for it is "partial 16S ribosomal RNA". It matches the Rfam family "Bacterial small subunit ribosomal RNA", at positions 28 to 507 of the family's 1533-position model. The record is from RNAcentral.
GAUGAACGCCGGCGGCGUGCCUAAUACAUGCAAGUCGAGCGAACGGACGAGAAGCUUGCUUCUCUGAUGUUAGCGGCGGACGGGUGAGUAACACGUGGAUAACCUACCUAUAAGACUGGGAUAACUUCGGGAAACCGGAGCUAAUACCGGAUAAUAUUUUGAACCGCAUGGUUCAAAAGUGAAAGACGGUCUUGCUGUCACUUAUAGAUGGAUCCGCGCUGCAUUAGCGGGUUGGUAAGGUAACGGCUUACCAAGGCAACGAGGCAUAGCCGACCUGAGAGGGUGAUCGGCCACACUGGAACUGGACCACGGUCCAGACUCCUACGGGAGGCACCAGUCGGGAAUCUUACGCAAUGGGCGAAAGCCUGACGGAGCAACGCCGCGUGAGUGAUGAAGGUCCUCGGUUCGUAAAACUCUGUUAUUAGGGAAGAACAUAUGUGUAAGUAACUGUGCACAUCGUGACGGUACCUAGUAAGGAAGCCACGGCUAACUACGUG